RNAcentral lists this unclassified non-coding RNA (239 nucleotides) under Hevea brasiliensis (rubber tree). Lineage: Eukaryota; Viridiplantae; Streptophyta; Magnoliopsida; Malpighiales; Euphorbiaceae. The record is from RNAcentral.
AGGAAGAUGGCAGAAGAGGCUGCUGCUAGUUCAGAAGGUUCAUCUUUCCAGAGUUUGAACAACCUCAUCAACCAAGCUCUCUUGUCAUCUUCUAGAAAUUAAGACUAACCCAUGCAUCUUUAUUUUUCCUUUCCAAUGUUGUUUGAACUUUGUAAUAUCACUGUCUAUUGAUUUCUACAACCGUCUCUGCUACAUAAUUCAUCAUUCACUCAAAAUAUCAAUAUAUAAAAUCCAUACUC